Molecule: ribosomal RNA, 425 nt
Filed under: uncultured bacterium
Lineage: Bacteria
Description: partial 16S ribosomal RNA
Rfam family: Bacterial small subunit ribosomal RNA
Source: RNAcentral
GUGGGGAAUAUUGGACAAUGGGCGCAAGCCUGAUCCAGCCAUGCCGCGUGAGUGAUGAAGGCCUUAGGGUUGUAAAGCUCUUUCACCGGUGAAGAUAAUGACGGUAACCGGAGAAGAAGCCCCGGCUAACUUCGUGCCAGCAGCCGCGGUAAUACGAAGGGGGCUAGCGUUGUUCGGAUUUACUGGGCGUAAAGCGCACGUAGGCGGAUUGGUCAGUUAGAGGUGAAAUCCUGGAGCUCAACUCCAGAACUGCCUUUAAUACUGCCAGUCUAGAGUCCAGAAGAGGUGAGUGGAACUCCUAGUGUAGAGGUGGAAUUCGUAGAUAUUAGGAAGAACACCAGUGGCGAAGGCGGCUCACUGGUCUGGUACUGACGCUGAGGUGCGAAAGCGUGGGGAGCAAACAGGAUUAGAAACCCUUGUAGUCC